Brassica rapa (field mustard) is the source of this 4942-nucleotide long non-coding RNA. RefSeq lists it as uncharacterized. NCBI's taxonomy places the organism in Eukaryota, Viridiplantae, Streptophyta, Magnoliopsida, Brassicales, Brassicaceae. The record is from RefSeq and is a predicted model, not a curated record.
ACGCUCAUACGCAAAUUCGGAAUAAGAUCUUCUCUACUCUCUUUUUCGAUUUCUUAUUUUUAUCGUUGUUAUUCUCGUGUUCUGAUUGCUUGACGUGUGGUAUUAGCAGAUAUUCGGGUCCUCUGGGAAAUUAGGGUUUUCCUAGUUUCUUUAUUUAAACGGAAAUCGACAGUGCGAAUUUCGGUUCCCACAGUAGUAUUUGUGAACAUCACUUUCCAAGCUUUGAUUGUAUUCUUGCAAGAGUUUGUUAUGGACUUUUAUAAUUGAUUGAUCAUGACCAAGUAUGAAUAAACCCAAAUUUAUAAUUCAUUUUUAUUGCAUAUAUUGCAUAACAUGUCCAGUCCUUAUAUUCUGAAAUGAUAUUUUUUUGUUUACAACAAGAUUGUUUAGCUUUCAUAUAUUAUUUAUACUUAAAAUAAAAAAAACUAUUAUUUUUAUAUAUCUUAUUAUUUUAUACAUAUUUUGUUUCAAUAUAAAUGAUGUUUUAGGUGAUUAAUGUUGUUUUACAAUAGAUAAUAUUUCUCAUAUCUAGUUAAUUUAAACUUUAUCAAAAACUGUAUAGUCAAUUGUAUUUUUUAUUAUUUUAUAAUCAAAUAAAAUAGUUUAAAAUUAUAUUUUCAAUAUUUUUUUUAAAUAAAUUUCUUAAUAUGUGUAUAAAGAGCCAAAACUCCAUCUAUUAUGAAAAAGAGGGAUUAUCAUGUAAUUCAAAUUAUUUGUAUAAACAAUUAAAAGAAAAUUCUAUAGAUCUAUGUUAACUAAAUUUUGAUAUUUCUUUUUUUAUUUUAUCCAAGUUACUGCAUCUAAAUAUUUUGUCUAUUAUAAUAAAUUAACUUUCAAAAUUAUAUCUAUUUAGCACUUUCAACUUAAAAGAAGCAUAUAUAUACUAAGUGAUCUGGGUUCGAAUCAUUCUCAUGACACUAAACAUAUGUAGUCACGCGGAUAUAGAAACAUGUUUUAGACCUCAUUCCAUCCGUAGAUUUUACCUCUUUUUUGAAAAUUUAGUUUGGAUCAUUUUCAUAAAUCUCGAAAGCCCCCAGAUUAAUAAAAGGUAUUAUUGUUGCUUUGUUAAUAAUCAAAUAAAAUUGAAGAGUAUUAAACUAUAUAUUUAAAUUAUUCCAUUUGAAAGUUAAAACUGGUAUUAUUGAUUAAAGAAAUUCUAAGCUAUUUAUUACUUUGAAAUAUCAUGGAAGAUAAGAAUAACCGGAGAUGGGCACGACAAAAAGGAAUCGAUUUCUGGCUCCACUGUAGUAAAACUAUUUUCAACACAUCUUUAUAAUAUAAUAGAUCUCAAUUAUAUUAAAAAAUAGAGAUGUUAUUAUUAUUACCAGAAGAACACAUGGGAGCAAAAUUUUAUCUCUAUUUUUAUUGAAUAACAGAAAUUUCUAAAAUAGAAACAAAGAUGCCCAAACAUGUAGAAUACAAAAUAGUCAUGGUAUUUUAUCCAUACGUUCAUUUCUACAGAAAACAAUUAUCCUUAUUCUAAGUAAGCUCAUCCUCAAAAUAAAAAGUUCAAGGAUGAAUUUUCCUAACAAAAUACCUCAAACAUAUCAAAAAGGCAACAAUGACCUUAAAUUGAAUUAUAAAUUGAAAACUAAAAAUUAAAAAAAACAAUUGUAAAUAUUAAAAUAUAAUAAAUAAUUAAAGUAAUUAAAAUAAAAGAAAACACUAAAAAUCAUUAAAAUAAAAAAACCUAAACCUACACUUUAUGUCCCACUAUUUUUUUUAUUUUAUUUUUUUCUGAAAAAUCGAUUUUUCAUAUAUGGAAACUGAAUAAGUCCAAAAAAUUUAUUUCCAUAGUUUUCAGAACUGAUUAUUCUUAUCCGCAGAAUACAGUAAAUUUGUAGGACUCGGUUUCUAUGUGUUUUUAGAUUUAUAGUAAUGUGUAGAUUUUGAUUUCUACAUGUUUUAGAUUUACAGUAAAUUUGUAGAACUCGUUUUCUACAAGUUUUAGAUUUAUAUUAAUCUGUAGAUUCCGAUUUCUACAGAAUUUAGCGCGAUAGGUUAAGCGUGGAAUAUGUAUUCUAAAUAUUUUUAUAGUAUUAUUGUGUAGGUAGAUCAUGUAUUCUAAACAUAGUAGAUUCAAUCAAAAAGUAGAUUUUAUUUUCUACUUUGUAGAAUGUCAGUUCUACUUUAUGUAGAACAUAAUUUGAAAUUAUGAUUUAAAUAUUUUUAGAAAAGAAAAAAAAAUACCACUAAUUUCAUAUGGGUAUUUCAUCAGUAGUUACUAUUUUCCAAUUUUUUUAGUUUAUAAAACUAUUUAUUUGAUUUAUUUUCAAAAUUUUUAAAGGGCAUUAGAAGCAAAAAAAAAAUAGGAAUUAGCCUAAUGUGACAUAGUUACUAUUUUUUGGCAAAAAAAAAACAUUUUUCCCUAUUUUUUACUUUUAGUUCAUUUAGAUCAUUUUAGGAUGCAUUUAGAAGUCUUUAAUGUAUAUAUGUGUGUUCAUUUGCAUUUUAUAGAGCACAUUAGCAAACUUAAGAGGACAUUUCUGAAGAUUUAAGAGUUUGGGGUCAAAUUGAUAACAUGGCAAAACUUGGAAAACAUGUUGUGUAAAAAAAGGAGAAGUUGGUCGAAGGGGAUCGAUCGAUCCUGAUAUCGAUCUCGAGCGGGGUGACCACGGCAGCUUUGAUCACGUCGCUGUUCGUCAUCAAGGAGAAAAUUUGACGUGAUGAGACGGAUAUCACGGUGGAGGGAGGAACAUAAUAGGUGGUAGACCGUAGCUGGAGCUGAUCCGCAUUUCAGCGACAUGGAAGAUGGAAGUUCGAACGCAGACCACUGACACGGUGAUCUACGUUCAGGGAGCACUGCGGAGAGAGACUUGUUGCAAUGUGGAAGAAAAAGAUGAAAUGCAGUUGCAGUCCCAAACAAUUUAAGAAAGACUGUGAGUAGUAUUUGGCGAUCAACGAUCAGCGUUUGGCAUUUGAAACAGUUUUUGACAUGGUUUAAUUUGGGAUGAUCCGAGUUUAUUGGGUUGAUCCGGUUUUAUUUUAGCCUACUAUUGAUAUGUUUUUAAGCCAAACACCUUAUCUAUUUACUUUUGUAAAAGUUUAAAUCUUUUUAUUUUAUAAGAAAGUAUUUCAUAUAAUCUUGUAUGUAUAUUGUGAUUAGCUUGUUAUGUACAAUGUUUAUCUCUAAACUUUUCAUGUGCUUAAGUAUUUCAUGGUGAUUAGUGGAUAGUCAUUUUGUGGAUCUAUGAGUUAAGUUAGGAUAAUUAUGUGAAGAUCUAAGAUGUUUAUUUCUUGAUCUCCUAGACAUUAUUUGAGAAGCGAUUUACCACAUUUUUUUUUAUCUACAAUCACUUUCUAAAUAGUCUAUAAGAUCAUGUGAUGUUUUUUUUAUCAAUUAUUGGGCUCCGGCCUGGGUUUUAACAGGUUUGAUGUUGUAUAAUCUUGCGGUUACCACCACCGCGAUGUAUAUGUACUGUAAAGCUGUUCAUGGCGAGCUUGCUUGGGAGAUUGCAGAGGAGUUUGCAGGAGUAUGUGAGUUUGCCUUUUAAUGAUGGUAAAGUUCCUCACAUGGUGUAUGUAUCUUACAACGGACAUUGAAAGAGUUAAUGGCCAGUGUUUGUGUAUUGAAUCUUAGUUUUAAGUGUUCGACUGAAUCGAACAGUGAGUUCGUGUUUGGUUUUGAUAUUCUAAGCUUUUGUAAUGUGUGUGAAUAAUCUAAAGUUUGUGGUUAUUGAAAGUUUUGUUGGUAAAGAUCUUAAUCAUCUUCCAUUAAAGAUUUCAUUUUCUUAUAAACAUUGUUAUUACAAGAAGAAACUUCACAAAAUAUAACCGUUUAUCAUAGUUUCUAUUUGUAGAAACAUGUGGUAAUGUAGUAAUCAUAUAACUAAACAGGUUCAUUAACCAAAAAUAAAUCGGCACAACUUUUUUUUUUUUUGGGUAAAAUGUUAAAUUAUUAUACCAAUUUUCGAAUUUGAGACAGACGUUACACAGUAAACAGGUAGCAGAAUGCGGAAACGAAACUAAACAAAGAGACCUAAGCGGAAUGAGACAAACUAGAUGAUAGCCGGACAAAGUCUAAGAACCCGAUUCGUUACGAGUCAAGCUCGAACCUUGCAAACCGAGACCGCUCGAGAUCGAGAGCCGGGCACCGCGAGCUACCGAGAGAAAGGCGCCCUCAAACCUUGAUGCUACGGUUCCUACAGCUUCCGACCUCUCCGCCGAAACCAAGACCCAGAAGAAGAAUCCGAACACAAACAAAACUCAAUUCACCCGACAGCUGAACUUCCGACGGCACGAGAGAGAACCACCAAGCGACGAUGUCGUCGUUUGUCAAGCCGUCUUGAAGAUUGCCGCCUCCAUUCCAACUCGACAUGACCGAUACACCCAUUGAACCGAAACCCCAUAUAGAAAUAGCGGACCGAAAGGCGGCUAACUCUCCGAAAGAUCAACCGCAGUAGAACGAGCCGUCCGAAAGACCAACAACUUCACAAGAACAAGAACAAGAACAGAGUCCAAACCACCACACGAGCUCAUCCAAGAGCCGCAACUACCUUAUUUGAAGAGAGGGAGCGAGGAGGACUUAGGUCACGGCUCAGACCAAACCGGAACCACCGGGAAACUGUCAUAAAGGACAGAAAAUAUAGACCCCAACUGAACAACACGCAAGCUGCCACCACCACGCGCCGACGUGACCACCGCACGUUACCACAAGAGCUCAUCGGAGACAGAGACCAUCACCAGAAGAGCCCACGCGCGCUUACAGGAGACCACCUGUAAAAGAAGAGAGACCGAGCUCCAGAUCCGCGCUAUUUGAAGCCUUACCAAACCCAUACCGCAGAGCCCCACCGCACGCCAGAGGACAGAAGCUCACCAAGCAGGGACAAGGUUCUCUGCAACCCCCACGCAACACCACUCUCACUCAACACGCAACGAAGGGAAAUAAAAAUCCAAACCGGACAGAGGCACUACAAGAGACCAGAACAGAGCUAAGGAGAAG